Molecule: ribosomal RNA, 229 nt
Filed under: uncultured bacterium
Lineage: Bacteria
Description: partial 16S ribosomal RNA
Rfam family: Bacterial small subunit ribosomal RNA
Source: RNAcentral
UGCGUAGGCGGAAUGAUAAGUUAGUGGUGAAAGCCCCCGGCUCAACCGGGGAAUUGCUUGGCGAACCGCGUUUCUUGAGAUGAGUAGGGGCUGUCGGAACGCUAGGUGGAGUGGUGAAAUGCGUUGAUAUCUAGCGGAACGCCAAAGGAGAAAUCAGGCAGCUGGGCUCAUUCUGACGCUGAGGUACGAAAGCGUGGGGAGCGAACAGGAUUAGAUACCCUGGUAGUCC